This 1445-nucleotide ribosomal RNA is filed under the name Escherichia coli. RNAcentral describes it as "partial 23S ribosomal RNA". It matches the Rfam family "Bacterial large subunit ribosomal RNA", at positions 329 to 1774 of the family's 2925-position model. The record is from RNAcentral. Lineage: Bacteria; Pseudomonadati; Pseudomonadota; Gammaproteobacteria; Enterobacterales; Enterobacteriaceae.
UUAGUGGAAGCGUCUGGAAAGGCGCGCGAUACAGGGUGACAGCCCCGUACACAAAAAUGCACAUGCUGUGAGCUCGAUGAGUAGGGCGGGACACGUGGUAUCCUGUCUGAAUAUGGGGGGACCAUCCUCCAAGGCUAAAUACUCCUGACUGACCGAUAGUGAACCAGUACCGUGAGGGAAAGGCGAAAAGAACCCCGGCGAGGGGAGUGAAAAAGAACCUGAAACCGUGUACGUACAAGCAGUGGGAGCACAGAGCAAUCUGUGUGACUGCGUACCUUUUGUAUAAUGGGUCAGCGACUUAUAUUCUGUAGCAAGGUUAACCGAAUAGGGGAGCCGAAGGGAAACCGAGUCUUAACUGGGCGUUAAGUUGCAGGGUAUAGACCCGAAACCCGGUGAUCUAGCCAUGGGCAGGUUGAAGGUUGGGUAACACUAACUGGAGGACCGAACCGACUAAUGUUGAAAAAUUAGCGGAUGACUUGUGGCUGGGGGUGAAAGGCCAAUCAAACCGGGAGAUAGCUGGUUCUCCCCGAAAGCUAUUUAGGUAGCGCCUCGUGAAUUCAUCUCCGGGGGUAGAGCACUGUUUCGGCAAGGGGGUCAUCCCGACUUACCAACCCGAUGCAAACUGCGAAUACCGGAGAAUGUUAUCACGGGAGACACACGGCGGGUGCUAACGUCCGUCGUGAAGAGGGAAACAACCCAGACCGCCAGCUAAGGUCCCAAAGUCAUGGUUAAGUGGGAAACGAUGUGGGAAGGCCCAGACAGCCAGGAUGUUGGCUUAGAAGCAGCCAUCAUUUAAAGAAAGCGUAAUAGCUCACUGGUCGAGUCGGCCUGCGCGGAAGAUGUAACGGGGCUAAACCAUGCACCGAAGCUGCGGCAGCGACGCUGAUGCGUUGUUGGGUAGGGGAGCGUUCUGUAAGUCUGCGAAGGUGUGCUGUGAGGCAUGCUGGAGGUAUCAGAAGUGCGAAUGCUGACAUAAGUAACGAUAAAGCGGGUGAAAAGCCCGCUCGCCGGAAGACCAAGGGUUCCUGUCCAACGUUAAUCGGGGCAGGGUGAGUCGACCCCUAAGGCGAGGCCGAAAGGCGUAGUCGAUGGGAAACAGGUUAAUAUUCCUGUACUUGGUGUUACUGCGAAGGGGGGACGGAGAAGGCUAUGUUGGCCGGGCGACGGUUGUCCCGGUUUAAGCGUGUAGGCUGGUUUUCCAGGCAAAUCCGGAAAAUCAAGGCUGAGGCGUGAUGACGAGGCACUACGGUGCUGAAGCAACAAAUGCCCUGCUUCCAGGAAAAGCCUCUAAGCAUCAGGUAACAUCAAAUCGUACCCCAAACCGACACAGGUGGUCAGGUAGAGAAUACCAAGGCGCUUGAGAGAACUCGGGUGAAGGAACUAGGCAAAAUGGUGCCGUAACUUCGGGAGAAGGCACGCUGAUAUGUAGGUGAAGCGACUUGCUC